RNAcentral lists this ribosomal RNA (253 nucleotides) under uncultured bacterium. Its description in RNAcentral is "partial 16S ribosomal RNA". It matches the Rfam family "Bacterial small subunit ribosomal RNA", at positions 524 to 776 of the family's 1533-position model. The record is from RNAcentral.
UACGAGUGGCCCAAGCGUUAUCCGGAAUUAUUGGGCGUAAAGAGCUCGUAGGCGGUUUGUCGCGUCUGCCGUGAAAGUCCGGGGCUCAACUCCGGAUCUGCGGUGGGUACGGGCAGACUAGAGUGAUGUAGGGGAGACUGGAAUUCCUGGUGUAGCGGUGAAAUGCGCAGAUAUCAGGAGGAAUACCGAUGGCGAAGGCAGGUCUCUGGGCAUUAACUGACGCUGAGGAGCGAAAGCAUGGGGAGCGAACAGG